GGUUGUGACAUCAGUGCUCUUAACUCUAUUUAAAGAGAACCCACCGACUGGGUAUAGCUCAUUGUCUUCGCAUCAUUACACCUGAUCAACUGCUGAAAUUAACUGUGACUCAAAGAACUGACCACCAAGAUUAUGAUGAAGACUGUAAUCUUUUUGGGAUGCCUCCUGGGUCUGUCAUUGGCUCUUCCUGCUGAUGUGGAUCACUUGAGAGUUGCACGUUCCAGCUCUGACUCCAACUCUAACUCAAACUCCAGGGAGGCUGGUUCCUUUCUGCCCUCCCUGCCACAGUUGAAUUCAAAUCAGCUACUUCAACUUCUACUUAAACUGUUUGCUGCCUCUGUCCCAGCACCAGCCCCUGCCCCAGCUCCUGCACCUUCCCCAGCCCCUUCACCUGCCCCUGCCCCUUCACCUGCCCCUGCCCCAGCCCCUGCUCCUGCUCCUGCUCCUGCUCCUGCUCCUGCUCCUGCUCCUGCUCCUGCUCCUGCUCCUGCUCCCCCUGCCCCAGCACCUGCCCCAGCCCCUGCUCCUGCUCCAGCCCCAUCCCCUGCUCCUGCCCCAGCCCCUGCUCCUGCCCCAGCCCCUGCUCCAGCCCCAUCCCCUGCUCCGACCCCAGCCCCAGCCCCUGCCCCAGGUGGACGUUAAACAGGACAGGAACAAAUGCAUACGCUUAUCAAGAGAACAUCCCUGGUCAUCCCUACUGCCUCUGAUCUGGUGGACUCACAAAACACAAAUGCUUAGUUUCUAAAGAUGUCUGAGUGUUGGAGUGUACCCCUGGCUAUCCGUAAAUAAAGUAAACAAGAAAAUGGUGCCGUCUGGUUUGUUUAAUAUAAGGUUUUUGAAAUGAUUUAUACUUUCACUUUUACAUUUGAUACUUAAGUAUAUUUGAGCAAUUACAUAUACUUUUGAUACUUAAGUAUAUUUAAAACCAAAUACUUUUAGACUGUUACUCAAGUUGUAUUUAACUGGGUAACUUUCAUUUCUAUUAAGGUAUUUUUACUUUCACUCAAGUAUGACAAUUGGGUACCUUUCCCAACACUGGAUUCCCCAAACAUCAUAAGUACAAUGUAUAUCCUUUAAAUUCAUUAAUUCACUUUUCAGUCGAUCAGGUAUUUCAUGGAACUCCCAGACAUUGACUAUGAAGUGUGAUUCCUUUAUGCAUUUCUGUUUAAUAAACACAUUAAUAUUUCAAGCUCAAUUGUAUGUCUGUCCAGUCCUCUGAUGAAUGCUCAUUAAGUUUAUGAAAAUUGUGAGAAAUCUAUACAAAGUGUGUUACAUUACAUUGCGUUAUUUAAUAAAUAAAUAAAAGUGUUGUACAUUAUAUUGCAUGAUAGGAGAAAAUCUAAAUAAAGUCUGGUAAUUGAGUUAUAUUGUGUAAGUUAAGAAAUUAAAGUUAAACAUUACAAUUAAAUGUGUUCAUUUAGCCUCCGCAAUGCCCCAAAACAGGUAGAUGAAUCAUCGACAGUUUCAAAACCUUUCAAUUUAGCUAAAGUUUCCUAAUACUGAUGAGACAUUGUUCUUUGUGGGCACUGUGGAUAUACAGAUUUGUAGGAUUAC
Long non-coding RNA from Oncorhynchus tshawytscha (Chinook salmon), 1554 nucleotides. Lineage: Eukaryota; Metazoa; Chordata; Actinopteri; Salmoniformes; Salmonidae. The record is from Ensembl.